GUGCCGCUCCCUACUGAGGAUUCACCAGUGAGAUCCGACCCAUCCCCCCAGCCCCUCCUGCCUGGAACCCAGGUCGCCCCACUGCUUCUCGAGUUCCCUCGAGCCUGCAGGAACUAAGGGAAGAGGAAGAUUGGAAGGAGGGGGUCCUCCUUCCGAGAAGUCCAGGCAUGCCACAGCUGCAGGGGGUGGACAGAUGGGGGCGUUUCGGGGCACUGCUCCAAAACUCCCAGUUCUUGUAAACUGUUCAUCUCACCACACGUACCCGCUCUCCAUUUCCUCCUUCCCCGCGAUCCGAGUCCUUCAGGCUAAAGAGAGGGGCUCUGAGGGGUGAUGGUGGGGCGCCUCCGGGCGCAUUCCCAGGCCGAACAACCCACUCUGGAAAUCCCAGCCUACGGCCCCCAUCACGCUAGCAAAUCCCCAGGCCGAGGGAGUCUCCAGUCCCUUACAAAGUUCCUUACAAAGGCGUAGAUGGAGGAGAGGAGACAGUGACAGAGAAAGAAUGAUGGUAGCAAAGGAAUCUUAGUACCUGUGUUGUUGUUGGAGUCCAGGGUCGUCAUGUCUUCACCAGCUGACAGCGGUCAUUCAAACUGGACCUUGACACAAACUGGAGAUUACAAUUGCCGCUGUCGCCCCCUGGGAACUGACCGAGGACGGGGAGUGGACCGCGGCUCACGAUAAGGAUCCUAGGCACCCUGCAGCAAGGUCUUGGGGUGGCCGACUGCAGCCCUGCAGAAGGAUAGCUCCUGGGACAGCAUUGAUGGAUGCCUGGAAACAGCUACCGAAAAAGUAAAGAAAAGGAGGCGUGUGGACACCAAGGAAGGAGGCUCUUCCCAUCCAGGACAAAUGUUCCCAACGUUGAGAGAGGAGUAUUCUCCAUUCUGGAAGUAAUUUGCAGCUUGAGGAAACUGAGCCCAGAGAGGAAGAACUGUUUCCAGUGUCGUUGGGGAAGAGGAGGUGACGGAGGAGGCAAGAAGCAGAACGCUCACCCUAGGAGAGGCCACGUUCCCAUCAUCCCGCCUGUAACUGAAGAACUCGGGUGGUAUUCGGGGAUCUCAGAGAGCUCUGCCAGCAUCAUGAAGAAGUCUAGGGGAAAUGGAGUAGAGGUAACCAACUUUGCAGCUAGGGAUUAAAACUCUACCCAACUCCA
This is a long non-coding RNA of Lagenorhynchus albirostris (white-beaked dolphin), 1147 nucleotides long. RefSeq lists it as uncharacterized. The record is from RefSeq and is a predicted model, not a curated record. NCBI's taxonomy places the organism in Eukaryota, Metazoa, Chordata, Mammalia, Artiodactyla, Delphinidae. The transcript is spliced from 3 exons.